GCUCCAGCAGGUCAGCGGCGGACGGGUGAGUAACACGUGGGCAACCUGCCUGUAAGACUGGGAUAACUCCGGGAAACCGGAGCUAAUACCGGAUAGUAUCUUGAACCGCAUGGUUCAAGUUGGAAAGACGGUUUCGGCUGUCACUUACAGAUGGGCCCGCGGCGCAUUAGCUAGUUGGUGAGGUAAUGGCUCACCAAGGCAACGAUGCGUAGCCGACCUGAGAGGGUGAUCGGCCACACUGGGACUGAGACACGGCCCAGACUCCUACGGGAGGCAGCAGUAGGGAAUCUUCCGCAAUGGACGAAAGUCUGACGGAGCAACGCCGCGUGAGUGAUGAAGGUUUUCGGAUCGUAAAACUCUGUUGUUAGGGAAGAACAAGUGCGAGAGUAACUGCUCGCACCUUGACGGUACCUAACCAGAAAGCCACGGCUAACUACGUGCCAGCAGCCGCGGUAAUACGUAGGUGGCAAGCGUUGUCCGGAAUUAUUGGGCGUAAAGCGCGCGCAGGCGGUUUCUUAAGUCUGAUGUGAAAGCCCCCGGCUCAACCGGGGAGGGUCAUUGGAAACUGGGAAACUUGAGUGCAGAAGAGGAGAGUGGAAUUCCACGUGUAGCGGUGAAAUGCGUAGAGAUGUGGAGGAACACCAGUGGCGAAGGCGACUCUCUGGUCUGUAACUGACGCUGAGGCGCGAAAGCGUGGGGAGCGAACAGGAUUAGAUACCCUGGUAGUCCACGCCGUAAACGAUGAGUGC
This 749-nucleotide ribosomal RNA is filed under the name Bacillus sp. FJAT-17402. RNAcentral describes it as "bacterial SSU rRNA". It matches the Rfam family "Bacterial small subunit ribosomal RNA", at positions 77 to 816 of the family's 1533-position model. Lineage: Bacteria; Bacillati; Bacillota; Bacilli; Caryophanales; Bacillaceae. The record is from RNAcentral.